GACGAACGCUGGCGGCGUGCUUAACACAUGCAAGUCGAACGCUGAAGCUCAGCUUUUGUUGGGUGGAUGAGUGGCGAACGGGUGAGUAACACGUGAGUAACCUGCCUCCUUCUUUGGGAUAACGCCCGGAAACGGGUGCUAAUACUGGAUAUUCACUGGUCUUCGCAUGGGGGUUGGUGGAAAGGGUUUUUCUGGUGGGGGAUGGGCUCGCGGCCUAUCAGCUUGUUGGUGGGGUGAUGGCCUACCAAGGCUUUGACGGGUAGCCGGCCUGAGAGGGUGACCGGUCACAUUGGGACUGAGAUACGGCCCAGACUCCUACAGGAGGCAGCAGUGGGGAAUAUUGCACAAUGGGCGCAAGCCUGAUGCAGCGACGCCGCGUGAGGGAUGGAGGCCUUCGGGUUGUGAACCUCUUUCGCUCAUGGUCAAGCCGCAACAAUGGUUGUGGUGAGGGUAGUGGGUAAAGAAGCGCCGGCUAACUACGUG
This 483-nucleotide ribosomal RNA is filed under the name uncultured bacterium. RNAcentral's name for it is "partial 16S ribosomal RNA". It matches the Rfam family "Bacterial small subunit ribosomal RNA", at positions 28 to 507 of the family's 1533-position model. The record is from RNAcentral.